CGGGGUGCAGCAGGCGCGAAACCUUUUCAUGCGCGAAAGCGUGAGAAGGGAAUUCCGAGUGCUAAAGCAUUGCUUGGGCUUUUGCUAAGUGUAAAAAGCUUGGCGAAUAAGGGGUGGGCAAGACUGGUGCCAGCCGCCGCGGUAACACCAGCGCCUCGAGUGGGGAUCGCGAUUAUUGGGCCUAAAGCGUCCGUAGCAGGCCAUGUAAAUCCUUUGUGAAAUCGGCAGGCUUAACCUGCCGGCGCGCAGAGGACACUGCAAGGCUCGAGACCGGGAGAGGUCAGAAGUAUUCCUUGGGUACCGGUAAAAUGGGUUAAUCCAAGGAGGACUACCAAUGGCGAAGGCAUCUGACCAGCACGGUUCUGACUGUGAGGGACGAAAGCUAGGGGAGCAGAACGGAUUAGAUACCCGAGUAGUCCUAGCCGUAAACGCUGCGAGCAAGGUAUUGCGCCUCCCACGAGGAUGCGCAGUGUCGAAACGAAGGUGUUAAGCUCGCCGCCUGGGAAGUACGGUCGCAAGGCUGAAACUUUAAGGAAUUGGCGGGGGAGCAC
Molecule: ribosomal RNA, 551 nt
Filed under: uncultured archaeon
Lineage: Archaea
Description: bacterial SSU rRNA
Rfam family: Archaeal small subunit ribosomal RNA
Source: RNAcentral